This 279-nucleotide ribosomal RNA is filed under the name uncultured bacterium. RNAcentral's name for it is "partial 16S ribosomal RNA". It matches the Rfam family "Bacterial small subunit ribosomal RNA", at positions 506 to 784 of the family's 1533-position model. The record is from RNAcentral.
UGCCAGCCGCCGCGGUAAUACAGAGGGUGCAAGCGUUAAUCGGAAUUACUGGGCGUAAAGCGCGCGUAGGUGGUUCGUUAAGUUGGAUGUGAAAUCCCCGGGCUCAACCUGGGAACUGCAUCCAAAACUGGCGAGCUAGAGUAUGGUAGAGGGUGGUGGAAUUUCCUGUGUAGCGGUGAAAUGCGUAGAUAUAGGAAGGAACACCAGUGGCGAAGGCGACCACCUGGACUGAUACUGACACUGAGGUGCGAAAGCGUGGGGAGCAAACAGGAUUAGAUA